AUGCCUUCACGCUGUGAAAUUUGCUGCGAGAUUAUGAUCGCCGUCUUGAUCCCUCCACUCGGCGUUUGUCUCCGCCAUGGUUGUUGCACUGUUGAAUUCAUCAUUUGCUUGCUCCUUACGAUUCUAGGUUAUAUUCCUGCUAGUAUGAUAGAGACCAGGGGCGUUGAAGUGGUGUUGGUGGCUAGCUUGAUAGUUGGUUAA
This is a non-coding RNA of Vicia faba (fava bean), 201 nucleotides long. The record is from the annotation of a GenBank genome assembly. Lineage: Eukaryota; Viridiplantae; Streptophyta; Magnoliopsida; Fabales; Fabaceae.